UCCCUGAUAGCUCAGUUGGUAGGGAGUCUGCCUGCAAUGCAGGAGAUCCUGGUUCAAUUCCUGGAUCGGGAA
RNAcentral lists this transfer RNA (72 nucleotides) under Ovis aries (sheep). It matches the Rfam family "tRNA". Rfam says of the family: Transfer RNA (tRNA) molecules are approximately 80 nucleotides in length. Their secondary structure includes four short double-helical elements and three loops (D, anti-codon, and T loops). The record is from Rfam by way of RNAcentral. Lineage: Eukaryota; Metazoa; Chordata; Mammalia; Artiodactyla; Bovidae.